Lagopus muta (rock ptarmigan) is the source of this 957-nucleotide long non-coding RNA. RefSeq lists it as uncharacterized. NCBI's taxonomy places the organism in Eukaryota, Metazoa, Chordata, Aves, Galliformes, Phasianidae. The transcript is spliced from 4 exons. The record is from RefSeq and is a predicted model, not a curated record.
AGGAGCUGUACUUUUUUCAAAGCUGUUGCAGGUAAUCAGAAGGGAAUGCUCUGUCUCCAGGGCAAGGAAGGAAAUUCCAGAGAGUUAGCCAAGACAAUCAGGGUUAAUGUGCUCUUUAAGAAGUGUGGUGCAAGCAGGACCCCCUCUUUCCCAUUCAAAGGUCUUGAUCUGUUCACUAACUUGUUCCCAUCCUGCAAAUAGGCAGAAACACAGAGUUCUGCCUGCAUGAUAAGCUUUCAGGGUCAUUCACUCAAGCUCUUCUUAUACUGCUGGUCCAAAUAGCUGAGCUGCAGAGGAGUCCCAGGGCUGAUUUUCUCAUUUGUUAAUGAAAAGCUGAGGUCCUACUUGUGGUGAAGGAAAGAACUGUGCACAACUACCAAGAAACUGGAUGGGCAUCACUGGAGAUCAUUCUGUCCAAGCCUCAAAACAUCAACAUUAAAUUCAUCAGCAUCAAACUGCCAUCAAAUGCAAGGUCUCUGAACAGUGGUGUUCUGAAAUUUUCCUGAAUUAAAUUAUUUGUUUAUAUUUGGUAUGAUGAUCCUCCAUGCUGACUUGUGUGAUUAUGACAAGGGUGCAACUUAAGGCAGUUUGUGGCUCUUCAAUUCUGGGCUCCUGCACCUUCAACCUUUGUACACAAGUUCAAUGUAAACUGAAGGUGCUACUUCCCUAACAACACUAAGAUUGAACCCUCUGUAGCCUGUGCACGUUGUGAUGCUUUGCCCCUGAGAGAAUGGCAACAAAUAACUUGCAGAACAACUAUCUGCAGCUUAGGGACUUGACUGAUACCUCUUUUCUAUGCUGUACAGAAAACCUUGGUUUUGUGGUGUCAAAAUGGUAUCUCCAGCCAAGUUACUUCUCACAGAGUUAUUGUUUUUCUACCCUUGCAGGAGCAGAUUUGAUUAGGAGUCUGGGGUAUUACUCUGACAAUAGUGAAUAGUAGCACUUUAUUCCUACUCG